Molecule: ribosomal RNA, 515 nt
Filed under: Apilactobacillus kunkeei
Lineage: Bacteria; Bacillati; Bacillota; Bacilli; Lactobacillales; Lactobacillaceae
Description: bacterial SSU rRNA
Rfam family: Bacterial small subunit ribosomal RNA
Source: RNAcentral
GCCCCGAAGCGGGGGAUAACAUUUGGAAACAAGUGCUAAUACCGCAUAAUUAGUUGGAACCGCAUGGUUCCAACUUGAAAGAUGGCUCUGCUAUCACUUUGGGAUGGACCCGCGCCGUAUUAGUUAGUUGGUGAGAUAAAAGCCCACCAAGACGAUGAUACGUAGCCGACCUGAGAGGGUAAUCGGCCACAUUGGGACUGAGACACGGCCCAGACUCCUACGGGAGGCAGCAGUAGGGAAUCUUCCACAAUGGACGAAAGUCUGAUGGAGCAACGCCGCGUGAGUGAUGAAGGUUUUCGGAUCGUAAAACUCUGUUGUUAAAGAAGAACAAGUGUUAGAGUAACUGUUAACACUUUGACGGUAUUUAACCAGAAAGCCACGGCUAACUACGUGCCAGCAGCCGCGGUAAUACGUAGGUGGCAAGCGUUGUCCGGAUUUAUUGGGCGUAAAGCGAGCGCAGGCGGUUUUGUAAGUCUGCUGUGAAAGCCCUCAGCUCAACUGAGGAAGUGCAGUGG